This 4058-nucleotide long non-coding RNA is filed under the name Marmota monax (woodchuck). The record is from RNAcentral. Lineage: Eukaryota; Metazoa; Chordata; Mammalia; Rodentia; Sciuridae.
GGGAGGCUGGUGCCCGGCAACCUCACUGCCCCAGCCUCCAGGGUUUCUCUCUUCUCAUGGUCCGGGCUGGAGGCUUUUCUUGACUUCCUCCCUUGUUUUCUCCAUAGACGUCCACUCUGCCAUUGACCUGCAGCCUCGACAUCACGGGCCACCUCUCCACCCUGUUGCUGAUCCUGCCCGUUCAUCUGCCAGCUCCUCCUUUGAGUCACCCGGCAGCAGUGUCCGUCCACCCAGGAGCGUUUGCGAUCCUGACCGCCCAUCAAGGGUGCCAAUACCCGAGACAGGGUCCUCAAAGGCACCUGACCCAGUCCUUCCUGCCUUAGUCAGCCAUGGAGCUUCUCCCAGAAGAACAGCCUCCUCUUAGCAGGCGUCCAGAGAGAUCAGGCCCAGGGCAGGUGAUUCCCACGUGCUGCCAGAGGGGUCUUGGAGGGCAGCAGCCAGCACGGGCCUCACACAGAGGAGCAGGUGGCUCUGAGGCUCCCGUCUGGUGGCUCCUCUGGGCAGCCACCUUUGCUGCUCUCUGUGCAGGAGUCGGCUUGCCCCAGAGACUUUCAGGGCCCUACCUUGUUACACUUAAUAAGACAUUAAGUCCUCAGGGCUGUUUAGUAGUGGCCUGUGCUUCCUCCAGUCCCACAGAGCAGCUUGGAACACCUCAGGAGCAGUCUGCACAGGGCCCGGGAGAGCAGACAUCCAGGAGAGGGCUGAUGUUUGUGGGAACAGUGCAGCUGUGCCAUGGUCCUCGAUGGUGGCACCUCCCACCAGGGUGUGUUGUGUCCACCUGUGCUCGCCUUACGUCUGCAGGGCAGCGCCUGCUCCUGACCCAUCCCCCAGGUCUCACCAUCCUCGCGCCUGUGGGAAUAGCAGUCCUACCUGUCCCCAGCUUCUACACCAACGCAUGGACCUUGGGACCAGCGUGGUCGUUGCCUUCCAGAGCCAAGGCACACCUCUCAUGUCUCUCCUCGGAAGAGGCACAACCAGCUCUGCUGCCCUCUGGGCAGGCCGUGUCUUCCACUCUGGGUGGUGGCAGACAGGGCCUCGUGCAUGCAAGGCUCUGCAGACCCUGACUCCACCCGCCGGGACGUGAACUGCAGAGAACAACCUGUGAAGUUGAAGGGUGGGAGAUGUCCCUGCUGCCCAAGCAAGUUGUCCUCACCUGGGCAAACACACUGCGCACACUGCACAGCACAGCACCACCAAGACUCUGUGGGCGCUCAGAGUGCUCACAGGGGCAGAAAGAGCGGCUGACCUGGAGUAGUCUCCUGCAUGGACCUGAGAAAAUGUACUCACCCCCAGCUGAAAUUCCCAUUCUAAAAAGUAAGCUAAAGACAGUCAGGAAUAAGGUUAUACAGCUCUCUUGAUUCAUUAGUAUUAAAAAAACAAAACCUCAUCAUAUAAAAGAAAAUUUUGUCACUGUGUAAUAGCUUCAUAUAUAAAUGUAAAGAUAGGAUUUUAAAAAAUUCAGUUCAUCCACCAGCACAUGUUUCUUAUGUCAGUGAGGGACAUUUAAAUGGAAGAUUUAAAAUAUUAGUGACAUGAACACUUCCUACAUGGAAACUGGAUGUUCUAAGGCACUUCCCGUCAGAACAGGCAACCCCAGCACCUGGCAGCUGUACGUAACGAGGUGCACCUCUGGGGCUUCCUGGUUUGGGGUCUCAUAUUUAAGUGGCGUGUUGUGCUGAAUCUGGGUUGGUGAUGGCCUCAGUUCACUUUCUGCAGGUGUCAUCCACUAUCGGGAGAGGCUGAUUGUCUCCUGUGUGGACCAUUUGUGCCUGAGCCAAAGGUUGGUGGGCUCAUGUGGUUUGUUUCUAAGUCUUUCUGCUGUUCCCUGUGUCUAGGUGUCUGCACUGAGGUCAGCGUCUCAUGUUCCUAGAGCCUCGUCCUGCAUUUUGAAAUCAGGAAGUAUCAUUGCCCUGCUUUUGUGUUUUUUUCUGGUUGCUUUGGUUGUUCAGAGUGUUUUCUGAUUCUCAUCAGAAUUUUAGGGUUAUCUUUUCUGUGAAAAAUGUCAUUGCAACUUUGCACUGAAUCUUCACUCACUUUGAGUAAUCGAUAAUUACCAUUUGGUGGAACUGUAAACAGGCACGUGGCAUUCAGUUGUUGGCAGGUUGAUUCUGAGGAGAUUGCUAGAUUCAGGAUCGUAAUUGCUCUGCCCUGUUCCCUGAAUUCCUACUAUACCCAGGAGAUUAAUAUUUGCUGAAUUAAUUUCUUACAGAUGUUAAAGCAAAUCCACAGCUGGUACACUAAACUAAAAGCAGCUCUCAAAGUGCACUGAAUAAAGAUCACCCUUGGCAGAGGCUCUGUGGCCUUGACAAACCCAUGUGUGAUGUGGAGUGUGCACCUGUGGGCUCUUUGUGCUCCCACACACACAGGAGAUAGGCACUAUUCUUUGUCUUGUGUGGUGCCCACAGUGCUGGUCAGGAAAGGUCACAGAGACACGGUCUGCACAGGCUUUGAAAACAACAAUGAGAGUGACUAUAAAGACCUCAGUUCUAAACAGUUUCACAUGAUGAUCUACUACAUUUGGAAAACAUUUUGUCAACCUCAGUUCUAAGAAAUCGCUUUGACUUAAUAAUACACGUUAGCUUCGAAUGGGCAAAUCGCAGGAACUGAAGAUUAAUGAGCAGUGACCUCUCUGCGGAAGCAGUGCACAAUCCCCGCCCCAGACCCCAGAUACAGCCUCGUGCUCCUCGCUUGGACUCGGGGUCACCUGGCUGCUGCUGUGUGUCCCCACACCAGUGGCUGCGUGUGUCUGCAGACAGCUCUCAGAGCAGGCUUUGGCAGCAAGUAUCUGGCAGACAAAGGAAGCAGACGGUGGCUGAUCAGGCGCUGUGGAGCCUCCCUGAAACCAGGAGCAGGGCACGCCCCCAGAGGACAUCCCGACACCCCUGGCCAGGAUGCUGCUUCACACAGACCCCAGACAGGUCCUGGCCAUUCUGACUUAGGAGAAGCAGAACUUGAGAAGACCCAGGCACAGUGGGAGGAGCGCGGCUGGUUUUCUGUGGCAGAUGUGCCUCGGGGAGACGGCAGGAAGCACGCUGUCUCUGCAGACCUCUGAGAGUCUCUCAGAAAGUGCACCCAGGGAAGCAUAGGCCAUGCUGCAUUUCCUGGGACGCUUGUGAAAAAAUCCAGGGCCAGGUAUCACUCAGGCUUUCUGUGCGCCUUUGCUGCCUCAACAGAACGCUAACCUUGAAAUUAACAAAGAGCCUGCUGAUCAUGGAGGAGGGGUCGAGAGGCCCACCGCCUCUCAGAAAAGCAACUGCAGAGAAUAUGCUGGGUAUUUGCAGAAGUUGUCAAGCAAUUUUGAAAGUUGAUCCUCAAGAACAGAAAUCACAAAGUAGCUGCUCAUUCCUGCCAGACCGAUAUUCCAUAUGCACUUCAUCUUAUUUCAAAAAAAUCAAUAUAAAUAGAAGUGUUAACAUAUUACCUUUACUUCUUUUGUCUUGUGUUGCUGAUUAAUUUUCUUGAAAAUUUUAAUGUAAUGAUAUUAUUUUAGACAUACAAGACUUAGUGACAGACGUGGAACUGCUGUGCUUCUUUCCUGACCCUGGUUGCUCCUUACACUCCUGACUGUUAUGGAAAACACUUCUGAAGAGGGUUUCAGAGCUCUUUGUGUCACAUGGACCCAUGUGCCACCAGAGCAGCAGCAAUACACUCUUGUUGGAUGCCAAUAUUGAAAGGCACAAGUAGUUUGCAAAGGCUUUAUAAAAGCAUAGAUGGAACAAAGCCGGCUUUAUUCAAGCAGACGUUAAAGGAAGCUUACUGUUAUGGAGACAAGAGCCAUAGGGUAGGAGUUCUAUAGAAGUAGGAUCCAAGGAAGAAGUGGAUGUGGAUGGAUGGAUGGUUGACAGAGGAGAUCACAGAGAGACAAGACGGUGGGUAGAUGAUGGGUGGACAGGAGAUAGAUGAUUGGAUAGAGAGAGAUGAACAGAGGGAUGGUAGGCAAAAGGAGAUUAGAUGAAAGAUGAUAGAUGACAGAUGAUGAUAGGCGAUAGAAGAUAAAUGACACAAGAACAAAGCGAGACUUUGCCAGUGGAGAAGUUUGGCUCCAGACCGAAGCCUCU